Molecule: long non-coding RNA, 1538 nt
Organism: Musa acuminata AAA Group (dessert banana)
Lineage: Eukaryota; Viridiplantae; Streptophyta; Magnoliopsida; Zingiberales; Musaceae
Exons: 2
Source: RefSeq, a predicted model, not a curated record
UUCAUUCUUAUCAUCUCGUGUUUGUUGGUUUCAUACCAAGUUUAAUUAUGAAUAGACAACUUACUUUUUGGCUUUCUAAGUAAGCAUUUAUUUUUCAAUCUUCAGGCAAAAGCAGCAUGUGUAUUGAUUGAUUUAUGCUUUGGACCAUUAUCACCAUGGAUAUAUACAAUUACUGCAAAGGUUUCAUCUUUUUCCAUAAUAAGUCUACAUAUUAAGUCAACAACUUGUAUUUUUGUAACUGCAUUGACCCUUUUUCAUGUUGAUCUUGCAAUUGAACUUCUGGAGGACCUCUUGGUGUUAUUCAAUGUACUCCUUUUUGUUUUGGGGCCACAUAUGCCAUUUCCUUCAGAUAUUGACCUUUGCAAAUGUUCAUUUCCUAAGGUGGCUGAUCAAGAGUCUUUAGCUGUUUCUUCUAACUUUGUGAUAUGUUCUCAUGGGGCUUCUAGCACAUCCAGUAAUCCGGAUGAAGCAAAGAGAAAGAUUGAUGCAUCUAAAGCUGCCACAAGAAAAGAUGUACUCCAAGAUGCUAAUCUGUAGUUUGCUCCUAGAGAUCUGUCAAAAAUUGUUCUGACAAGUGUUUCAAAUUAUUUUACUGGGGACUGGAUCAGAUUGAAUUUCAGUUGUGGUGUUUCAGAGGUGAAUAAGAUUUCAAAUAACAACUUUCAGAAUAUUGGUUUCUUUGCUGAUUACUUGUAUUCACAAGCAGAUUAUCUACAACUUGUAAACUAUCAAGAUUCGGUAUAUAGGGCUUCCCAAUUUGAACAUUUGGCAGCUGAUUUGUGUUCCCAGCAUGACAACCCCAGAAAGCCAUGAAGCUGCAAUAGAAUCCAUACUCUUGGCUGCAGAAUGUUAUGCCAACUCAUUCUUUAUAAUCGAUUUCAUAUGGAUGCAAUUCAGAGCUUAUGAAUCAGAUGAAAAUCAUUGGAUCCAAAUUCAUGAAUAAAAAUGGAUUAGUGGUGUUUUAUGAAGACCUUAAGAGAUGUAAUGUCAAUCUGGAGACAAUAGCUUAUCUUGAAAGUAAAAGAGAUAUAACUGUUCUACAAAUUCUGCUUCCGCUAAACUGGACCUCGAAUCUGAGAGAAUUUUGGCUCUUUGGAAACCUUGUACAUAUUAUUUUGAAGAUAAUCAGUAGGCUUUAGAAAUAUCACAAGUCGACAUUGAAUCUGAUGUGGCAACUUUGAUUAGGCAGAAUCAACCAUUGCUUUGCCACUUUGUAAUCCUCCUACAGAGUCUCCCCUCUUUCUACUGCAUUCUGCAACUGAGUUAUCCUGUUCUGUAGAGAAUGUUAAUGACAUUAUACUGCAGUCAGCUGCAAAUCUUAGUGGACAACUUACAAUUUUGUACACCCAACUGAAAGCAGGCAACAUACAACUUGAAAUGGUAAAGUUACAUGGGCUGCCAAGGUGCUGGGCACUUCUUGAAGGAUUAAUCUGGAAAUGAUGAACGGACAUAUCCCAUUGGUAUCAAAAGUGCUGGUUUCAUCUACAGAACUUUAGUUCCACAUUUAUCAUGGAUGCAGAAAAUAUCUAGAUUUUCAA